RNAcentral lists this unclassified non-coding RNA (3491 nucleotides) under Hevea brasiliensis (rubber tree). The record is from RNAcentral. Lineage: Eukaryota; Viridiplantae; Streptophyta; Magnoliopsida; Malpighiales; Euphorbiaceae.
AGAAUAAAUUGAAAAUUUUAUUAAGGUGUGGACCCUUACAUUGUUUCUCAAAUCAUACAAAAGAAUUUCUUUCAAUUUACACAAACUGACAGCUCAAACAACCUCAAACACCAAACAGAAUGUGGUGCUCGAUCAUAUACAAGAUUUGAUUCCUUUAAAAAUAAUAGAAUAGUGAAAGGAAGAAAAAGAAGUGUGUACAAAGAAAUAUAACGAGUCAAUUAAAAAAUGUGUGAAAUCUGCUAAUAAAUACAAAACAAAAGUGAAUCCUCAACUUGCACAAAUUUUGCAAGUGUUUUACAAGAGGACGUGUAAUUUAUCCAAAACCUACAAACUAAAGAUUUGAAAAGGCUGCACUGGAUCUAAAUGUAACAAUAGUUCAGUCCCUUGUUAAGCUGCUGCUACUUGCAGCAGACAUCUUCCCAGAAUGCCUCUGUCAAUAACCAAGGAGGCAUGUCAUUAUGUUUAACUGAAGAAAGAAUAAGGAAAACUGAGAGUUAACUAGUUGCCAAUUCACGCCAAAUUGUUUAAAAGAUUGAGAAUAGAUACAAGAAUAGAGACAAAAGGGACAGUAAUGGCUCAAACUUUCCAAAGCUCUCACCUGCUUUCCAACACAAAAUGGAACAUAUUUAUACUUAACCAUGUGCAUGUUUUGGCGUUGCAUUGUGAGGACAACAGAACAAUCCAACAGCAGAGUAAUAUGGGCCAGAAGACAGAGACAUCAAACAUGGAAAAAAAGUUCAUUAGAAAGGCCACACAGAAAGCCUUGGUGAUGGAAUACCAGAACUUAAACUCAGGAAGGCGGCGAAUGAAAGGCUUGAACUCAUCCGAUUCUUUUGUUGGCAAAGAAGCUCCAUCCAAAACUUCAAGUUAAGGAUCAACCUUUGGCUAUAGAAACCCAAUCAACAAAUUCAAGAUAUAAAUUCCGAGACCAUAUGACACAAUGUAAAAACCUUGAACAUAGUAAACUCGCAACAUAUAAAUUGCCGCAGCUGCAAGAGUUCCCAGCCACCUUUGCAUUGUAUGAGGUGUUGAUCGAUCCAGAUAGUACUGGAAUGCCCUUGAGAAAUCAUUUCUCCACUUGGCAAGAGGUGCCACAGUGGAGGCAGCAUGACCUCCAGCUCCUUCCAUUAAUUAUUACCUUCUAAUUCUCCUUAAAGAAACGUCGCAGUCAGAGCAGGUCCCAGCACCGUACAGAUCCGAUAAAGCUAUAUAAAUGGUAAAGGAAUCUAUAUGGGUACCCAAGGCAAUCGAUCUCUUGUUUCUUGCUUCUCUUUCUUCUAGAUUUCUUGUUUAAUGCUAGAAAUUUUGCAGGUUAAUGCCAUCGUCGUAGCAUAUAAUGUCUCUCCUUGCUGAGUGACGCGUAUCUAUUUUUACCCGUCAAACCUUGAUAAUUCCCCAUUUUGCCCCCCCAUUUCUCUUGAAAAUUCCACCCUAUCCCCGUACUCUGCCAUUUUCUCCUCCUCCAUUCCCAUCCCAAUGUAGUGUACUGUAGUGAUUAGUUGAAACCUGAGGGGACUAACAGACCAAGAAGAAGAUGGGGACCCUAGGCAGAGCGAUAUACUCCGUUGGAUUCUGGAUUCGCGAGACCGGCCAGGCCCUCGAUCGUCUCGGCUGCCGCCUCCAGGGCAACUAUUACUUCCAAGAGCAAUUGUCUAGACAUCGAACUCUCAUGAACAUAUUUGAUAAAGCUCCUGUGGUUGAUAAAGAUGCUUUUGUGGCUCCCAGUGCAUCUAUCAUUGGGGAUGUUCAAGUGGGUAGAGGAUCAUCUAUUUGGUAUGGAUGUGUUUUGAGAGGUGAUGUGAACAGCAUUAGCAUUGGAUGUGGAACUAAUAUACAAGAUAACUCCCUUGUGCAUGUGGCAAAAUCUAAUUUAAGUGGAAAGGUGCUACCAACUAUAGUUGGGGACAAUGUUACUGUAGGCCAUAGUGCUGUUCUACAUGGCUGCACUGUUGAGGAUGAGGCUUUUGUUGGCAUGGGAGCUACACUUCUUGAUGGUGUUGUUGUAGAGAAACAUGCCAUGGUUGCUGCUGGAGCUCUUGUAAGACAGAACACAAAGAUCCCUGCUGGAGAGGUCUGGGGAGGCAAUCCAGCAAAGUUUCUUAGGAAGCUAACCGAUGAAGAGAUAGCCUUUAUUGCGCAAUCAGCAACCAAUUAUUCCAAUCUUGCCCAAGUUCAUGCUUCUGAGAAUGCUAAGCCUUUUGAUGAGAUAGUGUUUGAGAAGGUGCUGCGCAAGAAGUUUGCUCGUUGGGAUGAAAAGUAUCACUCAAUGCUGGGUGUUGUUCGUGAAACUCCCCCUGAACUCAUCCUUCCAAGAAAUAUCCUACCAGAUAAAUCACCCAAGGCAAUUUAAGGUUUUUUCAUGAGGUAUUGUUUCUGAAAUUCAACUCUUGAGAGUCAACUUUCAAGAAAUAUUAUCAUUUUGUGCUGAUACAUUAAGGGACUGCUUUCUUUGCCAAUUCCAAUAAUACCAAACAUGUGUAGGCAGAAUAAUGGCUCCUUUUUAGCUUAUGGCUCUGCCCAAAUUGUGGUCUUUCCGACACUAUUUUCUUCCAUGGGAGAAGUUAAUGCCAUAAAGGAGGGUUAACUUUGAUGUUCAUCUGAUCCUUGUACCAACAUGUUUGUUUCUUGAUACAAUUUUGGUGAUCUGUAUUUCUGGUAUCAAGUCAUUUCAGAGAUGACAUGGCAUGACUAAUUAUUUCAUUUGAACAGUACACUUUUUGCACUUAUUGUGCUUACUCCUGUGAACUUCUGGAUGCAUUUAUCAUUCUUUUAUAUAAUUUGUAACUAAACCAGAAAUCUAGGAAGUAAACAAAGUAGACUAUUUUGCUUGUUUGAAUAGAAUUACAUAAUGCCUUUUAAGUUGCUGACAGGAUCUGUGAAUAGGCUGCAUGAUAUAUAUAUACAUGCAAGGCCAUGAUGUUGCUGCAGAUGAGUGGUUUCUUCUGUGAGACUAUGACUGAAGGAACUUAUUGGACAUCAACUGAACAACUUUUGAAACUUUAAAUGCAUGUAUUAAUGGGAGCUCAAAUUUAGCUGUAAAAAAGAUUUGUCAAAAGAGCAAUUUUGGUGGUGUUAUUUUAGCAUUUUUACUGGCAAGAUAUCAAGUAUGAGUAGAAAAUGCAAUUUGGCUGAGGGACCAGAUGCAAGCAAUACAGUCAAAUGUCGCUUGAUAAAACUUCCCUUUGAUGUCUGUUCUUCAUCUUUCUUUUUCCUUCUCUUUUUUUUUUUCUCUUUCUUGCUGUCCUUUCUGACAGGCACAAUUAUUUGAUAUUAUACUACAUCAAUUUCGGGGUCUUUGCAACUUUGAAAUAAUGAUGUGACUAACAACUGUGCCACCUAAUAAGUAGUGACACCCUUAUGCAUUCCAUGCAAAACAAUUUUACACAAAUAACAUGCUUUUUACAUGGAUUGAAAGAUAUUCAUGCCUAUCAAGUAGUUUAAAAAAUGUAUAAAAGAAAAAAUAACACCUGUAAAGUUUUACAGCUUCUGUU